GACGAACGCUGGCGGCGUGCUUAACACAUGCAAGUCGAACGGUGAAGCUCCAGCUUGCUGGAGUGGAUCAGUGGCGAACGGGUGAGUAACACGUGAGCAACCUGCCCCUGACUCUGGAAUAAGCGCUGGAAACGGCGUCUAAUACUGGAUACGAGAAGGGUCCGCAUGGGCACUUUCUGAAAAGUUUUUCGGUUGGGGAUGGGCUCGCGGCCUAUCAGCUUGUUGGUGAGGUAAUGGCUCACCAAGGCGACGACGGGUAGCCGGCCUGAGAGGGCGACCGGCCACACUGGGACUGAGACACGGCCCAGACUCCUACGGGAGGCAGCAGUGGGGAAUAUUGCACAAUGGGCGAAAGCCUGAUGCAGCGACGCCGCGUGAGGGAUGACGGCCUUCGGGUUGUAAACCUCUUUCAGCAGGGAAGAAGCGAAAGUGACGGUACCUGCAGAAGAAGCACCGGCUAACUACGUG
This 468-nucleotide ribosomal RNA is filed under the name uncultured bacterium. RNAcentral's name for it is "partial 16S ribosomal RNA". It matches the Rfam family "Bacterial small subunit ribosomal RNA", at positions 28 to 507 of the family's 1533-position model. The record is from RNAcentral.